UUAAUUACAUUUAUUGUGAUUAUAUUGUUUAUAAAUAUAAUAUUUUAAAUUUUAAGAGAAAUAACUUUAAAAUUUAAGAAGUUAGUAAUUUUUAAUAAAAUCGUUUUUAAACUAUAGUGAAAAGUACUGAGAAGGAAAAAAAUAAAAUUUUUGAUAGUAAAUAUGAAUUUUUGUACCUUGUGUAUCAGAGAAAAUCUAUAUAAAUUAAUAAUAUUUAAUAGUCUCGAAAUAAAAUAUAGCUAAUUUUAUAAAAUUUUUUUUGUAGAAAAUAAAUAUUUAAUAUAAAAUUAAAGGUGAAAUGCUAAUCGGGUUUUAUAAUAUCUAGUUUUUUGAAAAAAGAUUAAAUCUAGUUUUUGUUUUUAAAAUAAACAAAAAUUAAGUGUAGGAGGGAUUAGCUUCUUAUAGACCAAAAUAAUAAAGAGUUAAAAAAUUAAUUAAUAGUAAAUUAAGCUUAAAAAUAGCUAUAUUAACAAAAUGUUUUAAUUGAAUCAACUUUAAAUAAUAUUUAUAAAAACUUUAAAUUUAUCAAAAAAUUAAUUCAAAUAUAAAAAAUUAAGUUAUAAUGAUUUUAUUAGUAAAAUUUUAUUGUGAGUUAUAUAUUAUAUUAAAAUAAUGAAAUUUAUUUAAAUAUUAAAUGAUAAUAUAGAGGAACUCGGCAAAAAUUGUCUUUUUGCCUGUUUAUCAAAAACAUGUCUAUUUGAAGGUAUAAAAAGUUUAACCUGCCCACUGAUAAGUAUAAAAAUAUUAAAUGGCCGCGGUACUUUGACCGUGCAAAGGUAGCAUAAUCGUUAGUUUUUUAAUUGAAAUCUUGUAUGAAUGGUUGGACAAGAAAGAAUCUGUCUUUAUAUUAUAAAUUGAAUUUAACUUUUAAGUGAAAAGGCUUAAAUUAAUUAAAGGGACGAUAAGACCCUAUAAAGCUUUAUAUUAUUAUUUUAUUUAGUUAAAUUUUAAAAAAUAAAAAUUUAAUAAAAAAAUUUAUUUUAUUGGGGCGAUAAAAGUAAAAUGAUUAUUAACUGCUUAAUUUUUAAUACAUUUAUUAAUGAUUAAAUUUUAAAUGNUCCUGUUUAAAGAUUAAAAGUUUAAGUUACUUUAGGGAUAACAGCGUUAUUUUUUUUGAGAGUACUUAUCGAAAAAAAAGUUUGCGACCUCGAUGUUGAAUUAAAAUAUCUUUAUAAUUGCAGUAGUUAUAAAAGUAGGUCUGUUCGACCUUUAAAAUUUUACA
This 1222-nucleotide ribosomal RNA is filed under the name Thalassograpsus harpax. Its description in RNAcentral is "partial 16S ribosomal RNA". Lineage: Eukaryota; Metazoa; Arthropoda; Malacostraca; Decapoda; Varunidae. The record is from RNAcentral.